UCUCCGUUGGUGAACCAGCGGAGGGAUCAUUGCUGGAAGCGCCGCAAGGUGCACCCAGAAACCCUUUGUGAACUUAUACCUAUUAUCGUUGCCUCGGCGCUGGCUGCCCUAAUCUCUCGGGAAUAGGGGCCCUUUCUCUUCGGAGGAUGGACAGCAGGCCCGCCGGCGGCCUACUUAACUCUUGUUUUUACUGAGUAUCUUCUGAGUAAAGCUUCUAAAUGAAUCAAAACUUUCAACAACGGAUCUCUUGGUUCUGGCAUCGAUGAAGAACGCAGC
Molecule: unclassified non-coding RNA, 276 nt
Filed under: uncultured fungus
Lineage: Eukaryota; Fungi
Description: sequence contains ITS1, 5.8S rRNA gene
Rfam family: 5.8S ribosomal RNA (bases 228-276)
Source: RNAcentral